GGUGGAAGUCCUGAUAAGUAAGAGGUUCCAGUUGCAGCCCAAAGUGCCAAGGCCGGUUCUCAGCUGCUGGUGGUUUAUGUUGGCUGGCUGAUAUUAGUUCCUCCAGGAGGCAGCUGCUAAUUACAGUAAAUAGCACCACUAUCUCAUCAGAUUGGGGGAGUUAUACUGAUUUAGUCCUUCCCUGCUACAUCAACAGCAUUCAACAAUACAGUGAUCAUUGGUGACAAUAACUGAGCUGAAUGGAAGGCAGCUCCUUCCAGCUGUCUGCUGAGGAGUGCCUUGUCCAGUGGAGCUGUUCUGCUUCUUCCUGAGAGCCUGCAUGGCAUCAGUGAAGUUUUCAGCAAUGCUGGGUGGAAAUGGAUUCUGUAAGAAUAAGCCUUUGCUCUCUCAGAUAUGAUGGAAUACCUUCUCCUGCUGGCUGGAUUUGGACCCUCUGCUCGGGCUGUGACAGCCACGUUGUUCCACACUCAGUGCCACUGUGACUGCCAGACUUCCAGCACGAGUAAGAGAACCUGCUUAAAAACAACUGUAUGCACUUCAUUUUUCCCUUUCAGAGGUUAUAUCUGGUUACUGUGUGACUGGAACAAUGAGACUAACCUCAGUUUUACUGUAACAAAGCAGCUAUGAGCUUUCUGGGUAAAGUAUAUUUUGACUGACAUACAAGUAGCUGUAGCUGUGCUGCACAAUGGAGAAAAUGACUUCAUUUAACAGCUUUCUGUGCCAAGAAAGAAAUAAAACAGUUCUGAGAAUGUUGAAGAUUUUUUUCCUGUUUUAAUUUUAAACCUAAAAGAAAAAGCUGUUGCCAUAUAAGUCCAAGUCAAUGGAAUGUAUAAAUCUUUAA
Hirundo rustica (Barn swallow) is the source of this 841-nucleotide long non-coding RNA. RefSeq lists it as uncharacterized. The transcript is spliced from 4 exons. NCBI's taxonomy places the organism in Eukaryota, Metazoa, Chordata, Aves, Passeriformes, Hirundinidae. The record is from RefSeq and is a predicted model, not a curated record.